Molecule: ribosomal RNA, 1011 nt
Filed under: Triticum aestivum (bread wheat)
Lineage: Eukaryota; Viridiplantae; Streptophyta; Magnoliopsida; Poales; Poaceae
Description: partial small subunit ribosomal RNA
Source: RNAcentral
AUGCCCCCACGCGGAUCCAGAUCCAUUUGUGCCGUGACCUCCUUCGCUCGAUCUGCUCCGCCCUCCCCGGCUCCGUCUGCACCAGCUGCACGACGUGCGCUCCGGGUGGCGCCCCUUUGUUCAGUGCGUGCCCCAAAACCGUGGUGGUCAUCAGGCUGGCUCGGGGUCUUCCACCUCUGCGCCCGUGCGCCGCAUCCCUCCGCUCCGGCAAAACUACCCUUCCGCGCGUCGUGCGUCCGGCUGUUCGCGGCCUGCUGCUCUCUUGAGCCGCCACGCCACCCAGGCAGGGCUGCGCCGCCACUGGCGUGGCGCGUGUGUCGGCCGUCGCCCACACCACCCCUCCCUCUGAUCCAUGCUCAUGGGUGCUCGGUGGAUUGUCGCGGUUCCCCUGACUCGGGCGGGCCAUGCGGCUCCGGCGCCCUCGACCUGGUCGCCUCCGCUGCCGGGCUUUGCAGCUGCGUUUGGUUUGUGCCCGUGUCAGCGGCGUCUAGCAUGGAGGACUGCUGCCCCUCGCCGCAGUUCCCUCUGACCUUCGGCUCUCUGUCUCCGGGAGAAAUCCCUUCGCUGGUUCCUUGCCAGCGGCAGCAACGGCGAUGCCUUCCCGGCGCCGCUUCAUCUUCUUGGAGGCGCCGCUGUGGAGUUAAGUGUAGCUAUGGUUUUGGACGAAAGUCCUGCGAUGAUGGCGCCUGUGGGCGUCAUUCAACCUUCCUGAAGGUGUCGCAAAAACACAUGCUUCAAUCCACUCACCUACGCCCGCCCAUUCCAUCAUCGACUUUGUCCCUCCGUCGCCACUCACCGCCAUCCAUCCAUCCGUCUGGUGUGUUGUCCAUGUUGUGCUUGCUCAGGUCCCUUCCAUGCCUGUUGUUGUCUUGCGGCAGGUUGGGGUCAACAGUGGUUUGUGUUGUUGCUGCCCUACUUCCUAUGUGUUCGUCUUCGGUGUUGUUCCCCGGUGUCGGCCAUAUUGCUGUGCAUGUUCAAGCCCCUCCCAUGGUGGCCGUUGUGUUGCGGUGA